This 205-nucleotide long non-coding RNA is filed under the name Elaeis guineensis (African oil palm). RNAcentral describes it as "long non-coding RNA (EGUI_LNC058413)". Lineage: Eukaryota; Viridiplantae; Streptophyta; Magnoliopsida; Arecales; Arecaceae. The record is from RNAcentral.
UACAUCGGAAGCCUGUGUAUUUUGUUGAGUAAAUGCAUAAACUCUUCCUUGAGUUUUAAAAUCUGUCCACCAUCCUUGUUUUGUCCAUCAUAUGUUCUUUGGCCAAAUUAUUUUUCAAUGCUUAGUGGGCAAUUAGCAAUUUUAUGAUCCAUCUAACUACAUUUGAAACAAGCACCUGUAUUCCAAUAGCAAUCUUUGUCUGCAU